RNAcentral lists this ribosomal RNA (501 nucleotides) under uncultured Oscillospiraceae bacterium. RNAcentral describes it as "bacterial SSU rRNA". It matches the Rfam family "Bacterial small subunit ribosomal RNA", at positions 36 to 507 of the family's 1533-position model. The record is from RNAcentral. Lineage: Bacteria; Bacillati; Bacillota; Clostridia; Eubacteriales; Oscillospiraceae.
CCGUCGGCGUACACGGACGAACCGGACUGGACGGGCGUGCCUAAACACAUGCAAGUCAACGGAACUUAGUUGAAGGAAUCUUCGGAAGGACAUGGUUAAGUUUAGUGGCGGACGGGUGAGUAACGCGUGAGUAACCUGCCUCCGAGAGGGGAAUAACAAUCUGAAAAGAUUGCUAAUACCGCAUAACAUAGCGAAGUCGCAUGGCAGCGCUAUCAAAGAUUUAUCGCUCGGAGAUGGACUCGCGACCGAUUAGUUAGUUGGUGAGGUAACGGCUCACCAAGACCGCGAUCGGUAGCCGGACUGAGAGGUUCGAACGGCCACAUUGGGACUGAGACACGGCCCAGACUCCUACGGGAGGCAGCAGUGGGGGAUAUUGCGCAAUGGGGGAAACCCUGACGCAGCAACGCCGCGUGAAGGAUGAAGGUUUUCGGAUUGUAAACUUCUUUUAUUAAGGACGAAAAAAUGACGGUACUUAAUGAAUAAGCUCCGGCUAACUACGUG